This 453-nucleotide ribosomal RNA is filed under the name Bacillus sp. MS180e. RNAcentral describes it as "bacterial SSU rRNA". It matches the Rfam family "Bacterial small subunit ribosomal RNA", at positions 14 to 454 of the family's 1533-position model. Lineage: Bacteria; Bacillati; Bacillota; Bacilli; Caryophanales; Bacillaceae. The record is from RNAcentral.
UGAUCCUGGCUCAGGAUGAACGCUGGCGGCGUGCCUAAUACAUGCAAGUCGAGCGAAUGGAUUAAGAGCUUGCUCUUAUGAAGUUAGCGGCGGACGGGUGAGUAACACGUGGGUAACCUGCCCAUAAGACUGGGAUAACUCCGGGAAACCGGGGCUAAUACCGGAUAACAUUUUGAACCGCAUGGUUCGAAAUUGAAAGGCGGCUUCGGCUGUCACUUAUGGAUGGACCCGCGUCGCAUUAGCUAGUUGGUGAGGUAACGGCUCACCAAGGCAACGAUGCGUAGCCGACCUGAGAGGGUGAUCGGCCACACUGGGACUGAGACACGGCCCAGACUCCUACGGGAGGCAGCAGUAGGGAAUCUUCCGCAAUGGACGAAAGUCUGACGGAGCAACGCCGCGUGAGUGAUGAAGGCUUUCGGGUCGUAAAUACUCUGUUGUUAGGGAAGAACAAGU